This is a long non-coding RNA of Tachysurus fulvidraco (yellow catfish), 950 nucleotides long. RefSeq lists it as uncharacterized. NCBI's taxonomy places the organism in Eukaryota, Metazoa, Chordata, Actinopteri, Siluriformes, Bagridae. The transcript is spliced from 2 exons. The record is from RefSeq and is a predicted model, not a curated record.
AAAACAUUCAAACACUAGCAAGCACUCAUUCAGGAACGAACCAGGCUCUUCUUAGCGCCACCUGCUGAUCUGGAGUUUGGCAAACAAACAUAAAUGGCCAUUUGGUUCAUCAUCUUGGUCAUCCUCCUGCUCACAUGGAAUGCAUGAACUUAGGCAUCUUGAACCAAGGAUCGCCGCUUCACCCACUUAUGUUAUGUUCUCCAUGGCAUUCGCUCUGUAUAAGGAGACUUCAAGGAGUCGAGACUCAAGGACUCUUGUCGAGAGAUUUUGUACAAUUAAUACUUUUUUAAUCUUACUCAAUCAGUUUUCCUACACAGAAGCUCGAACAGACACUCGAUCUUAUCUUCUUGUCAGGCUUGUUUUGUUUGUAUCGUCGAUCAAAGUAACUGAGUGGUUAGACUUACUGUAUCAGCAUCACAUCCCCUAUGGAGUGCCACAAGGUUCAAUUCUGGGCCAGUUUUAUAUUCUUUAUACUGGCUCCCACUUUGCUCCAGGUUUAAACACUGUAAAACCUGUAUAACUCCACUGUUUACCAUUUGAAUACACUGUACUGUUAUAAAAUGAAAUUUUUUUUUGAUUUGCUUUUAAAGCUUUUUUCCACAGACUUGCCCAAUAUACAUUUCAGAUCUCUUCCACCUUUGUUUUUCGCAUGUUACUAACCAGUCCCCAGUCACAGCUUAUUACAGUUCAACUUAUAUUUUUAGCAGUAAUUUGUUUGCAUGUUUAUUUACAUAUAAUUACCUGUUACCAUCAUUAUGUAUUUUUCCCAUUAUGGCUGAUGUGCAGCACUUUGAUCAGCACCUGUGCAGUUUUUGAUUUGCAUAUAAAUAAUUUUGCCCUCGACCUUGAAUGUAUCAAAAAACACAAUCACAAUCAUACUACUGUUCUAAUCUCUUCUCUUUUGUUUUGUCUCUUGAACGUUUGUUGCUGAAUAAAUUCUGUUUCUGUGA